RNAcentral lists this ribosomal RNA (233 nucleotides) under uncultured bacterium. Its description in RNAcentral is "partial 16S ribosomal RNA". It matches the Rfam family "Bacterial small subunit ribosomal RNA", at positions 524 to 756 of the family's 1533-position model. The record is from RNAcentral.
UACGGAGGGUGCGAGCGUUGUCCGGAAUCAUUGGGCGUAAAGGGCGCGUAGGUGGCGGCUUAAGCGUGCGGUGAAAGCUCGGGGCUCAACCCCGAGUCGGCCGUGCGAACUGAGUCGCUUGAGCACUGUAGAGGCAGGCGGAAUUCCGGGUGUAGCGGUGGAAUGCGUAGAGAUCCGGAAGAACACCGGUGGCGAAGGCGGUCUGCUGGGCAGUUGCUGACACUGAGGCGCGA